Molecule: ribosomal RNA, 584 nt
Filed under: uncultured bacterium
Lineage: Bacteria
Description: partial 16S ribosomal RNA
Rfam family: Bacterial small subunit ribosomal RNA
Source: RNAcentral
UGGGGAAUUUUGGACAAUGGGCGAAAGCCUGAUCCAGCAAUGCCGCGUGUGUGAAGAAGGCCUUCGGGUUGUAAAGCACUUUUGUCCGGAAAGAAAUCCUCUGGGUUAAUACCUCGGGGGAUGACGGUACCGGAAGAAUAAGCACCGGCUAACUACGUGCCAGCAGCCGCGGUAAUACGUAGGGUGCAAGCGUUAAUCGGAAUUACUGGGCGUAAAGCGUGCGCAGGCGGUUUUGUAAGACGGAUGUGAAAUCCCCGGGCUUAACCUGGGAACUGCAUUCGUGACUGCAAGGCUAGAGUAUGGCAGAGGGGGGUAGAAUUCCACGUGUAGCAGUGAAAUGCGUAGAGAUGUGGAGGAAUACCGAUGGCGAAGGCAGCCCCCUGGGCCAAUACUGACGCUCAUGCACGAAAGCGUGGGGAGCAAACAGGAUUAGAUACCCUGGUAGUCCACGCCCUAAACGAUGUCAACUAGUUGUUGGGGAUUCAUUUCCUUAGUAACGUAGCUAACGCGUGAAGUUGACCGCCUGGGGAGUACGGUCGCAAGAUUAAAACUCAAAUGAAUUGACGGGGUCAUAGCUGUUUCCU